UGGCGGCGUGCUUAACACAUGCAAGUCGAACGGAAAGGCCCUGCUUUUGUGGGGUGCUCGAGUGGCGAACGGGUGAGUAACACGUGAGUAACCUGCCCUUGACUUUGGGAUAACUUCAGGAAACUGGGGCUAAUACCGGAUAGGAGCUCUUGCUGCAUGGUGGGGGUUGGAAAGUUUCGGCGGUUGGGGAUGGACUCGCGGCUUAUCAGCUUGUUGGUGGGGUAGUGGCUUACCAAGGCUUUGACGGGUAGCCGGCCUGAGAGGGUGACCGGCCACAUUGGGACUGAGAUACGGCCCAGACUCCUACGGGAGGCAGCAGUGGGGAAUAUUGCACAAUGGGCGGAAGCCUGAUGCAGCAACGCCGCGUGCGGGAUGACGGCCUUCGGGUUGUAAACCGCUUUCGCCUGUGACGAAGCGUGAGUGACGGUAAUGGGUAAAGAAGCACCGGCUAACUACGUGCCAGCAGCCGCGGUGAUACGUAGGGUGCGAGCGUUGUCCGGAUUUAUUGGGCGUAAAGGGCUCGUAGGUGGUUGAUCGCGUCGGAAGUGUAAUCUUGGGGCUUAACCCUGAGCGUGCUUUCGAUACGGGUUGACUUGAGGAAGGUAGGGGAGAAUGGAAUUCCUGGUGGAGCGGUGGAAUGCGCAGAUAUCAGGAGGAACACCAGUGGCGAAGGCGGUUCUCUGGGCCUUUCCUGACGCUGAGGAGCGAAAGCGUGGGGAGCGAACAGGCUUAGAUACCCUGGUAGUCCACGCUGUAAACGGUGGGUACUAGGUGUGGGGUCCAUUCCACGGGUUCCGUGCCGUAGCUAACGCUUUAAGUACCCCGCCUGGGGAGUACGGCCGCAAGGCUAAAACUCAAAGGAAUUGACGGGGCCCCGCACAAGCGGCGGAGCAUGCGGAUUAAUUCGAUGCAACGCGUAGAACCUUACCUGGGUUUGACAUGGAUCGGGAGUGCUCAGAGAUGGGUGUGCCUCUUUUGGGGUCGGUUCACAGGUGGUGCAUGGCUGUCGUCAGCUCGUGUCGUGAGAUGUUGGGUUAAGUCCCGCAACGAGCGCAACCCUUGUUCACUGUUGCCAGCACGUUAUGGUGGGGACUCAGUGGAGACCGCCGGGGUCAACUCGGAGGAAGGUGGGGAUGACGUCAAGUCAUCAUGCCCCUUAUGUCCAGGGCUUCACGCAUGCUACAAUGGCUGGUACAGAGAGUGGCGAGCCUGUGAGGGUGAGCGAAUCUCGGAAAGCCGGUCUCAGUUCGGAUUGGGGUCUGCAACUCGACCUCAUGAAGUCGGAGUCGCUAGUAAUCGCAGAUCAGCAACGCUGCGGUGAAUACGUUCCCGGGGCUUGUACACACCGCCCGUCAAGUCAUGAAAGUUGGUAACACCCGAAGCCGGUGGCCUAACCGUUGUGGGGGAGCCGUCGAAGGUGGGACUGGUGAUUAGG
RNAcentral lists this ribosomal RNA (1435 nucleotides) under uncultured organism. Its description in RNAcentral is "16S ribosomal RNA". It matches the Rfam family "Bacterial small subunit ribosomal RNA". The record is from RNAcentral.